CCUACGGGAGGCAGCAGUGGGGAAUAUUGCACAAUGGGCGAAACCCUGAUGCAGCGACGCCGCGUGAGUGAUGAAGUAUUUCGGUAUGUAAAGCUCUAUCAGCAGGGAAGAAAAUGACGGUACCUGAUUAAGAAGCCACGGCUAACGACGUGAAAGCAGCCGCGGUAAUACGGAGGGCGCAAGCGUUAUCCGGAUUUACUGGGGGUAAAGGGAGCGUAGGCGGCAGGCCAAGUCUGGAGUGAAAUGCCCGGGCUUAACCCCGGGACUGCUUUUGAAACUGGGCAGCUGGAGUGCAGGAGAGGAAAGUGGAAUUCCUAGUGUAGCGGUGAAAUGCGUAGAUAUUAGGAGGAACACCAGUGGCGAAGGCGGCUUACUGGACUGUAACUGACGCUGAGGCGCGAAAGCGUGGGUAGCAAACAGGAUUAGAUACCCCAGUAGUC
Molecule: ribosomal RNA, 440 nt
Filed under: uncultured bacterium
Lineage: Bacteria
Description: partial 16S ribosomal RNA
Rfam family: Bacterial small subunit ribosomal RNA
Source: RNAcentral